GACGAACGCUGGCGGCGUGCUUAACACAUGCAAGUCGAGCGGUAAGGCUCCUUCGGGCGUACACGAGCGGCGAACGGGUGAGUAACACGUGAGUAAUCUGCCCUUCACUUCGGGAUAACCACCGGAAACGGUGGCUAAUACCGAAUACGACCAGUCUUCGCAUGAGGUGCUGGUGGAAAGUCUUUUCGGUGAAGGAUGUGCUCGCGGCCUAUCAGCUUGUUGGUGGGGUAAUGGCCUACCAAGGCUUCGACGGGUAGCCGGCCUGAGAGGGUGACCGGCCACACUGGGACUGAGACACGGCCCAGACUCCUACGGGAGGCAGCAGUGGGGAAUAUUGGACAAUGGGCGAAAGCCUGAUCCAGCGACGCCGCGUGAGGGAUGACGGCCUUCGGGUUGUAAACCUCUUUCAGUACCGACGAAGAGCCCGGUCGGGUGGUGACGGUAGGUACAGAAGAAGGACCGGCCAACUACGUG
Molecule: ribosomal RNA, 474 nt
Filed under: uncultured bacterium
Lineage: Bacteria
Description: partial 16S ribosomal RNA
Rfam family: Bacterial small subunit ribosomal RNA
Source: RNAcentral